GUACCGUGAGGGAAAGAUGAAAAGAACUUUGAAAAGAGAGUUAAACAGUACGUGAAAUUGUUGAAAGGGAAACGAUUGAAGUCAGUCAUACCAACGGGAAAUCAACCUUUUGAGCUCGGUCUCGUGGGUUUUGAAAAGUUUCAAAGCCUUCGGAUUCGCGGGAUUGGGAUCUCUCGGUGUACUUUCUCGUACGGUUAGUCAACAUCGGUUUUGAAUGUCAUAAAAUGACUGGAGGAAUGUAGCUUCAAUCUCGUAUUGAAGUGUUAUACCCUUUGGUAGAUGUGAUGUUUGAGACCGAGGAUUGCAACGGAUACCCUUCAGGGCUAUUCGUCUGAUCUCUGAUACGUUGCCCUGAUGUUGAAAGCUUGCUUAUGAUGUUAGGGUAUUACGGUCAAAAGGUUAGAACUCAUUAUAUUCGUUAAGG
This 424-nucleotide ribosomal RNA is filed under the name Funneliformis mosseae. Its description in RNAcentral is "eukaryotic LSU rRNA". It matches the Rfam family "Eukaryotic large subunit ribosomal RNA", at positions 348 to 637 of the family's 3401-position model. Lineage: Eukaryota; Fungi; Glomeromycota; Glomeromycetes; Glomerales; Glomeraceae. The record is from RNAcentral.